This 298-nucleotide long non-coding RNA is filed under the name Elaeis guineensis (African oil palm). Its description in RNAcentral is "long non-coding RNA (EGUI_LNC050207)". The record is from RNAcentral. Lineage: Eukaryota; Viridiplantae; Streptophyta; Magnoliopsida; Arecales; Arecaceae.
GGUGCAAGUCAGAUUGGAUUGGGUGGUAUAAAAUUUUAGAGUCCUAGGUGCUUUGGACUCUUAUCUCCUACCCAAUCUCUAACUCUCUUAUGCCUAUUUAAACAUGGGACUUGAUGAGGCAUAAGGGGGCUGAUAAAGAUCAGUUUGAGAUGCCAAAAACCAAGGAGAGUGCAUGAAGAAAAAUUAUGAAGAGAAAAAUGGCAUGAAGAUGGAGGGCGUGAGUUUGCUUGAUCCUUUCUUUCUUACACAACCAAAAGUUGGCUGUUAGGAUAUCUCUCCCUCUCUUUUGUCCAUGUUU